GUCCCAACCGCGAUCCUAAGUUUUCGACAAUGUACUUCACCCCCCUGGUUUCAGCACAGAUAUUUUAUGAUUUCGCUUGUUUUUGAGGUAAAAAUCGCACUGAAAAUCUUGAUAUUUUUCUCCUAUAACUUGGUUGAUUUACAAUGUCGAGGAUCCUGCCUUUUUGCGCCGCUCGUAGAUGUAUGAGAUGUACAAGAAGAAUCUUUUUAUUCACCGGUAAGAUUUUUAUAUAUUGUAGAAAAUUUGAAGCAGAAGUACAAACUACAAAGUUUAUAAUACUACGAACAUAAAAGUAUAUGAACAGCAAAUUAUUAGCAGACAUAACAACCUGUAAAUGGUUGGCAAUUCUGUACAUUUUAUUGUUCUUUUGAUUUGGUACUACUACUGCUAUAGCGAUAUUUGCGUAGGGUUUCAUGGCUGGUUAAUAUGAUUUCAAAGUCCUUGCUGUAGUGUCUGCACACUUGUAUUUAUUUAGUAUUUUAGUAUAUUAAAUUUUCCUUGACAAACUUUGAGUGAUAUCCUUGCCAGGUUCUUGCCAGCAGUUGUUUAUAAUUACUGUGUAGUUAUAUGAAAUCUCACUUACAUGACAUGUAGACAAGUGAACAAAUACUUUGCUAGCUAGGCGGCUAGGCCAAAGACAUCAGGUUCAAACCAUUCAAUACCCAUUGCAAUCAAGCAAUUACCAUAAACAUAUAAGCCCCCUCCCCCCAAUAUAAGCCCCCCUGUGUAUAAUCCCAUCAUAUUUACUCAGGCUAUUCCGAAUAUAAGCCCCUCCCCCUCUAAUGUAAGCCAGGCCUGUGUGUACAAGCCCAUGGGCUUAUAUUAUUUGACAGGGGCCGGUUGUAUCAAGCCCGUUUAGCUUAAUUUCUCAUGAAUCAGUCAACUUAAAUAUUCUGCACUGAAUAUGUAGUUGUAAACAUCAUUCUAUUAAGGUUCAAAACUUCUAGUUUGGUUGUUGAAUGAAUCUAUAGAGUCUGAGUUGCUUUCUAUUUUGAGCUUAACCAACGUUUAAGCUAAACAGGCUUGAUACAAUUGGCUCCAGGUAUAUUUAUUAAUGCAGCUUUAGCCAUACAUAUUAGAAUACAAGCCCAGGGCUAGCUGGCUUACAUUCAGAGGCCGGUUUACAAUAUCUCGCCCAACAUAUAGUUUGUCAGAGUUCUAUAAAUCCCACAGUCAUUAGAGGUAAUAUAGGAAUGAAAGGUGCACAAUAUGUGUGCCAGUCACCUUGGCAUUGACCGGCCAACCUUAUGCUCUGACAAUUAACCUAAAUUGAUUGAUGAUAUGUUUGAGAGCAGUUUCAGGUUUCAGUGGUGGUGUCCCCAGUAUUGGAGUAGAGCUCAAAUUUCAGUUAGAUAUAUUAUUUGUGAUUGUUGUGAACCUUCUCACUUAGAUCAUUUGUGAUAUAUUGUAAUUAAAUGUAAAAUGAAACUUUGGGGAGUUAAGAAAUACAAUUAAUUGACAAGACUGUCCCCUUGACAAGUAAAAUUGUCAGGCAUUAGACUGCCUGAGUAAAAUAAUAAGCUUGGGUGCAAUUAACUGCUGUAUGCUUUAAAGUUGGUUGCAUGCUUUAAAGUUGGUUGCAAGCUAGCUGGGCUUAUAAAUGCCAGAACUCAUGUGAAAAAUGCUUGGAUCAAUUUAUUUCAUCCGUAAUGAACCCAUUUUUAAUCCUUUAAGUGGCAAUGCGCCCCACUACAAUAUUUUACUCCGUCCAAUGCCAGACAAUUUUACUCGUCAAGUUGAGAGUGCUGCCCCUCAAUGGGUUCAGUUGCAUUGCACCCUACUGUAUAUGUUCGUGUUACUUUGUCUAACGCCAACAAUUUUACUUGUCAACAAGAGAGCACAGUGGUACGUGCUGAAUGGGUUAACAUAUAAAUAAUGUCUACUCUACAGUAAAUUUCCCUGUAAUUGGACUUUGGAGCCUGGUAUAUGUGACUCACUAUUUCUUCAAAGUGUGUUCUAAUGAUACUAGCUGUCACUAUUUUAUAAAUAUAAUUGACAUUUCUCAUUUAGGGUGAUCCAGGAUGUAGGUCAUGUGGACAAGUUCUUUGGAAUGUUCAAAUAACAAGAAUAGUGGUGUUAUAGUAGUGGUGGCACUUGCCAGACCUACCGUAACUGGAAAAACUAACAAUGACUUUUCUCCAAAGUCUUAUAUCAGGCUUUUUUUCAGGGAUUUUUUAGGGCCGUUAAACGGCCCCAAAAACUCAAUCUUGAAUUGAGUUUUGAAACUCAAUCUUCUCACCAAAGUUUCAGUGCAGUAAAAAUGAAGUUGUUUGAGUUAAAUUUGUGACGUGUGGAAAUUAGUUUUCAGUUGGAAACCCGACAAUUAAGAAAAAAUGGCUGGAAUUCAUCUCACAACACAAGAAAAACUAUGCA
Molecule: long non-coding RNA, 2373 nt
Filed under: Paramuricea clavata
Lineage: Eukaryota; Metazoa; Cnidaria; Anthozoa; Malacalcyonacea; Plexauridae
Source: RNAcentral